AGAUGAGGCACCGUCCCAGAAAUAGCCCCCGGCGCCCUGCCUCACACCCGGCCUUUGUUUGUGGCCUGCUCGGAUCUCGGGCUUUCCUGGUCCCUGGAAGCAGCAGCCCCCACCCAGGCCCAUGGGACAGAGUUUGCAGCCAGAGCCGUCCGGGGAGAGGAGCGGUGGAAGGAAGCCGGCUGAGGCGGCCAGGGAGGGGUCUGAGCUGGAACACGGCCUGUGUGUUAUUGUGGACAGCUUCUACAGAUACGCCAAGGGCCCGCCUGGAGCAAAGGCACUGGACCAGGGGGCUUUCCAGAACUUGCUCAGCAACGAGUUGAGCCAUCAGCUCACGAACACAGAGGUCGAGGCAGCCGUGAUGCGCACCUUUGAGAAGUUAGAUGCCAACAAAGAUCAGAAAAUCUCCUUCGACGAGUACUGGCAACUCAUCGCCUGGAUUUGCCAAGUGAUCCGGCGCCGUGAUUAUAAUGAGUAGUGACUGGGGGGUUGCAUCUGGUGGGGAAACUGAGGCAUGCACCGCAUCGGGAAAGGCCUCCAAAUCCUUUGCCUUAAAGACUCAAAGCAAACCUGCACCUCCCUCUCCCUUGGAAACCCAGUGACCUUAAUCUGCCUGCUGGGAUCUCCCCACCCCCAUACUGCACAUCUUAUGCGGCCCCCGCCCCUCCUCGCCAGGAUCCCAUCCUGAUCAGCCCUCGGCCUUUUCUCUCCAUGCUGCCCAUCUCUCCCCAGUGCUGCUCAACUCCCCCACUGCUGGGAUUCACCCCGUACACCCCAAAUCCAUCCUGGCCUAUGCUCCCCAUGUCACCCUCCUCCCCUGCUGCCAGGAUCCCUCACCAUUCCAUGCCCCCCCUCCAGCCCUGGCAUGGGAUGCCCACCCCACCCAUCUCUCCAGCUGCUGGGCUCCCCCGCCGAUCCCUGCCCCGUUGCUGGGAUCUCUCCCCCACCCCCUACGGCCUGCCCUCCCAGUGCCACCCUGCUAUCACUUCGUAACAUGGCUUGAAUAAAGAGUCUGCUCUGCGCUCCGGU
Long non-coding RNA from Gopherus agassizii (Agassiz's desert tortoise), 1026 nucleotides. NCBI's taxonomy places the organism in Eukaryota, Metazoa, Chordata, Testudines, Testudinidae. The record is from Ensembl.